GACGAACGCUGGCGGCGUGCUUAACACAUGCAAGUCGAACGGUGAAGCGCCUUCCUUUUUGGUGGGUGUGGAUGAGUGGCGAACGGGUGAGUAACACGUGAGUAACCUGCCCCCUUCUUCUGGAUAACCGCAUGAAAGUGUGGCUAAUACGGGACAUUCUGGGUCUGUCGCAUGAUGGGUCUGGGAAAGAUAUUGUUUCGGUGGGGGAUGGGCUCGCGGCCUAUCAGCUUGUUGGUGGGGUGAUGGCCUACCAAGGCGGUGACGGGUAGCCGGCCUGAGAGGGUGGACGGUCACACUGGGACUGAGACACGGCCCAGACUCCUACGGGAGGCAGCAGUGGGGAAUAUGGCACAAUGGGCGCAAGCCUGAUGCAGCGACGCCGCGUGAGGGAUGGAGGCCUUCGGGUUGUGAACCUCUUUCGCCAGUGAAGCAGGCCUGCCUCGUUUGUGGGUGGGUUGACGGUAGCUGGAUAAGAAGCGCCGGCUAACUACGUG
RNAcentral lists this ribosomal RNA (494 nucleotides) under uncultured bacterium. Its description in RNAcentral is "partial 16S ribosomal RNA". It matches the Rfam family "Bacterial small subunit ribosomal RNA", at positions 28 to 507 of the family's 1533-position model. The record is from RNAcentral.